This 842-nucleotide ribosomal RNA is filed under the name Aterigena aculeata. RNAcentral's name for it is "SSU rRNA". It matches the Rfam family "Eukaryotic small subunit ribosomal RNA", at positions 958 to 1817 of the family's 1831-position model. The record is from RNAcentral. Lineage: Eukaryota; Metazoa; Arthropoda; Arachnida; Araneae; Agelenidae.
CCAAGAAUGUUUCCAUUAAUCAAGAACGAAAGUUAGAGGUUCGAAGGCGAUCAGAUACCGCCCUAGUUCUAACCAUAAACGAUGCCAGCCAGCGAUCCGGCUGUGUUCCUCAAAUGACACGCCGGGCAGCUUCCGGGAAACCAAAGCUUUUGGGUUCCGGGGGAAGUAUGGUUGCAAAGCUGAAACUUAAAGGAAUUGACGGAAGGGCACCACCAGGAUUGGAGCUUGCGGCUUAAUUUGACUCAACACGGGGUAACCUACCUGGCCCGGACACAGGAAGGAUUGACAGAUUAAGAGCUCUUUCUUGAUUCUGUGGGUGGUGGUGCAUGGCCGUUCUUAGUUGGUGGACUGAUUUGUCUGGUUAAUUCCGUUAACGAACGAGACUCUAGCCUACUAAAUAGACGUUCCGAUCAUCUAAUGUCGGACGUUCUUCUUAGAGGGACAAUCGGCGCUUAGCCCGAUGAGACAGAGCAAUAACAGGUCUGUGAUGCCCUUUGAUGUCCGGGGCCGCACGCGUGCUACAUUGAAGGAAUCAGCGUGUGCUUUCCCUGUCCGACAGGACUGGGUAACCCGUUGAACCUCCUUCGUGCUGGGGAUAGGGGCUUGUAAUUGUUCCCCUUGAACGAGGAAUUCCUAGUAAGCGCGAAUCAUAAAUUCGUGUUGACUAGGUCCCUGCCCUUUGUCCACACCGCCCGUCGCUACUACCGAUUGAAUGAUUUAGUGAGGUCUUCGGACUGGCGCUCGGAGCGGCCUUCGGGUCGUGCCGGCGUGCCGGAAAGAUGACCAAACUUGAUCAUUUAGAGGAAGUAAAAGAUCGUAACAAGGUUUCCGUAGGUGACGGG